AGAACGAACGCUGGCGGCAGGCUUAACACAUGCAAGUCGAACGCUCGUAGCAAUACACGAGCGGCAGACGGGAGAGUAACACGUGGGAACGCGCCCUUCGGUUCGGAAUAACUCAGGGAAACUUGAGCUAAUACCGGAUACGCCCUUACGGGGGAAAGAUUUAUUGCCGAAGGAACGGCCCGCGUCCGAUUAGCUAGUUGGUGAGGUAACGGCUCACCAAGGCGACGAUCGGUAGCUGGUCUGAGAGGAUGACCAGCCUCACUGGGACUGAGACACGGCCCAGACUCCUACGGGAGGCAGCAGUGGGGAAUAUUGGACAAUGGGCGCAAGCCUGAUCCAGCCAUGCCGCGUGGAUGAUGAAGGCCUUAGGGUUGUAAAGUCCUUUUAACGGGAAGAUAAUGACGGUACCCGUAGAAUAAGCCCGGCUAACUUCGUGCCAGCAGCCGC
Molecule: ribosomal RNA, 447 nt
Filed under: uncultured bacterium
Lineage: Bacteria
Description: SSU rRNA
Rfam family: Bacterial small subunit ribosomal RNA
Source: RNAcentral